RNAcentral lists this ribosomal RNA (510 nucleotides) under uncultured bacterium. Its description in RNAcentral is "partial 16S ribosomal RNA". It matches the Rfam family "Bacterial small subunit ribosomal RNA", at positions 28 to 507 of the family's 1533-position model. The record is from RNAcentral.
GACGAACGCUGGCGGCGUGCUUAACACAUGCAAGUCGAACGAAGAGCGACGGAAGCUUGCUUCUAUCAAUCUUAGUGGCGAACGGGUGAGGAACGCGGAAUCAACCUGCCCUUCAGAGGGGGACAACAGUGGGAAACGACUGCUAAUACCGCAUACGAUCUAAUCUCGGCAUCGAGGAUGGAUGAAAGGUGGCCUCUACAUGUAAGCUAUCACUGAAGGAGGGGAUUGCGUCUGAUUAGCUAGUUGGAGGGGGAACGGCCCACCAAGGCGAUGAUCAGUAGCCGGUCUGAGAGGAUGGACGGCCACAUUGGGACUGGGACCCGGCCCCGACUCCUUCGGGGGGCAGCAGUGGGGAAUCUUCCGCCAUGGACGAAAGUCUGACGGGGCAACGCCGCGUGAGUGAUGACGGCCUUCGGGUUGUAAAGCUCUGUUAAUCGGGACGAAAGGCCUUCUUGCGAAUAGUGAGAAGGAUUGACGGUACCGGAAUAGAAAACCACGGCUAACUACGUG